GACGAACGCUGGCGGCGUGCUUAACACAUGCAAGUCGAACGGAAAGGCCCUGCUUUUGUGGGGUGCUCGAGUGGCGAAUGGGUGAGUAACACGUGAGUAACCUGCCCUUGACUUUGGGAUAACUUCAGGAAACUGGGGCUAAUACCGGAUAGGAGCUCCUGCUGCAUGGUGGGGGUUGGAAAGUUUCGGCGGUUGGGGAUGGACUCGCGGCUUAUCAGCUUGUUGGUGGGGUAGUGGCUUACCAAGGCUUUGACGGGUAGCCGGCCUGAGAGGGUGACCGGCCACAUUGGGACUGAGAUACGGCCCAGACUCCUACGGGAGGCAGCAGUGGGGAAUAUUGCACAAUGGGCGGAAGCCUGAUGCAGCAACGCCGCGUGCGGGAUGACGGCCUUCGGGUUGUAAACCGCUUUCGCCUGUGACGAAGCGUGAGUGACGGUAAUGGGUAAAGAAGCACCGGCUAACUACGU
RNAcentral lists this ribosomal RNA (467 nucleotides) under uncultured bacterium. RNAcentral describes it as "partial 16S ribosomal RNA". It matches the Rfam family "Bacterial small subunit ribosomal RNA", at positions 28 to 506 of the family's 1533-position model. The record is from RNAcentral.